Molecule: long non-coding RNA, 1853 nt
Organism: Oreochromis niloticus (Nile tilapia)
Lineage: Eukaryota; Metazoa; Chordata; Actinopteri; Cichliformes; Cichlidae
Exons: 4
Source: RefSeq, a predicted model, not a curated record
GAAACUUUAUCAAGUUCAACUGAACACUCAGCUAAACACAAAGAAAAGUAAACAUAAUAAAUAUCAUGGCAUAAUGUCCCAUAAAAGCUGGAGAAAAUGUGGCAUUGGCAUCACCACAAGUUUAGAGAUGUUACAGAAAUUCGAGACCAGCACUCAUCAGGAAAUCACUGAUGCUGAUGAACACAGAGCAGUGGCACGAUCAUGUGUGGUGACUUCCUCCAAUAGUAGCUUGUUGAUGCUGAAAAGAAAAACAGCAGCGCUCUCUGGUGGAAAAUAAUAUUACAGUUUUAUUCAACACAAAAAAAGGCGGAUACCUUGAAUUUAUGCAGCAACAUCCUCUGCCAGAUAUUUCCUGUUGCUAAUUAUGAGAGAUGCACAAUGAAAAUACAUGUUGGACCAUUGUUUUAUAAAAAAAAAAGAUGGUUCACCUCAUCAAUAUUUUUAUUCUGUCUUGAUUGAAGAUCUGGCUUCAGGUUAUGCUACAGAAUCUCAGCUGGGUUAUGGUCACCUAAUUACAUCCCCGCAGGCCAUGUCAGGGACACAGCAAUGACAGUGUUUACUUUCUACCUUGUUUCUUCUCUGCUGGAGAGCUUUGAUUUCCAAAAAUUAAGAGCUUACGGUAACACCCGUCACCAGAUCUGAAUCAGACGCUCAGUCUGUUCUAUGCAUGUGUAAAAGACUUUCUCUUGUUCUUUCAUUUCACACUGAUAUGAAGGACAGCGUGACCUGCACUCUGGCAGGAGUGGAGUGAACUCUGCUCAGUCGCUGAUCAGAGCCUAAAUAAAAUAUCUCUGAGAAAUUUAAAGCAGAUUUGAAGAUUUAGAUAGAGUUUUUUCUUUGGUUUUAUUAGCUAUGAAAAAUGUAACUGUUUCUGUUUCCUAGACGAUGUUUAUAAGUUUUUGUUAUUUUUGUGAACAUCUAUAAUAAAAUAGAAGACUACAUUAGUUUCCCUUUCUUAUAUGAAGGUAACUUUGCAUCCAUGAAAAAAUUACAAUUAAAAUGAUCCAAAAAAACCCCAAAAAACAAGUAAAAUUAUGAAUCUAAUUUAUGUAAUGGAUAUAUGUUGUACAUUUGAUUGAAAAACUCACACUGAACACUUUAGUAAUAUUUAUGUUUAAUUAUAGAUUCCAAUUAUCAAAAUGAUUUGCAACUUUAAUUCAAGCUUUUCCUUUUCCUCAUCUUGUUCCUUUCUUUCACUCAAACACUAAAUUAAAAGUAAAAUAUGUCAUUUACGUCUCCUUUUACUGAGUGAAGAGCUGCUUAAACAGGGUCAUUAGGAGGUACUUACAGAGGCAGAGUACGAUGCUGAACCCCCCAAAAUUCCCUACUGUAUCAAAAGUUUGUAUUUUUGUGUGUCAUUGUUAAAGGACUGUAUGUUUAUGGUAAAAGAGCUUCUGAAAUUCUUUUUAAUAAUAUCCCCAAUUAAGUGUUAGCUUGCUUACUAAUGAUCCUGACCAAAAUGGGAAGCCUGUGCAACCAAUUUGCCACAAAAACCCUGAGUCGGCACAUGAGUGGAUAACUCCAAGUCCAAUACUGAGAAGCCCAACCAUAAUCUGCAGAGGGAGCACUAAAUACUAAAUGAACAACAAACAGUACUUUAUUCUACACCUUGUUCACCUAUGGUUUUAAAGAAGAGCGAUUAAGCUUCCAACUUCUUUUUAUUUUGGGGACUCUGCAAAGUAAGUUCAUUUAUCUUAUGAACCUUUGUGCAGCCUCUCAGUUAUUCAGACAGAAAAUCUACAAAUUUGCACUUUGAGCCGGUGUAAAGAUUUAAACAGUAGGUGUGUGGGGCUUCUUUGCUCAUGUAUGUACUAUAGUAAUACUGUAAGCAGUAAACUAUCAAGGACGAAAAA